Molecule: ribosomal RNA, 497 nt
Filed under: uncultured bacterium
Lineage: Bacteria
Description: partial 16S ribosomal RNA
Rfam family: Bacterial small subunit ribosomal RNA
Source: RNAcentral
GAUGAACGCUGGCGGCGUGCCUAAUACAUGCAAGUCGAGCGAACGGACGCGAAGCUUGCUUUUCUGAUGUUAGCGGCGGACGGGUGAGUAACACGUGGAUAACCUACCUAUAAGACUGGGAUAACUUCGGGACACCGGAGCUAAUACCGGAUAAUAUUUUGAACCGCAUGGUUCAAAAGUGAAAGACGGUCUUGCUGUCACUUAUAGAUGGAUCCGCGCUGCAUUAGCUAGUUGGUAAGGUAACGGCUUACCAAGGCAACGAUGCAUAGCCGACCUGAGAGGGUGAUCGGCCACACUGGAACUGAGACACGGUCCAGACUCCUACGGGAGGCAGCAGUAGGGAAUCUUCCGCAAUGGGCGAAAGCCUGACGGAGCAACGCCGCGUGAGUGAUGAAGGUCUUCGGAUCGUAAAACUCUGUUAUUAGGGAAGAACAUAUGUGUAAGGAACUGUGCACAUCUUGACGGUACCUAAUCAGAAAGCCACGGCUAACUACGUG